AAUACCAGUGGCGAAGGCGGCGUUCUGGACUGACACUGACACUGAGGUGUGAAAGCGUGGGUAGCAAACAGGAUUAGAUACCCUCGUAGUCCACGCCGUAAACGAUGUCGACCAGCCGUUGGGUGCCUAGCGCACUUUGUGGCGAAGUUAACGCGAUAAGUCGACCGCCUGGGGAGUACGGCCGCAAGGUUAAAACUCAAAUGAAUUGACGGGGGCCCGCACAAGCGGUGGAGCAUGUGGUUUAAUUCGAUGCAACGCGAAGAACCUUACCUACUCUUGACAUCCUGCGAAUUUGGUAGAGAUACCUUAGUGCCUUCGGGAACGCAGAGACAGGUGCUGCAUGGCUGUCGUCAGCUCGUGUUGUGAAAUGUUGGGUUAAGUCCCGUAACGAGCGCAACCCUUGUCCUUAUUUGCCAGCGCGUAAUGGCGGGAACUCUAAGGAGACUCCCGGUGACAAACCGGAGGAAGGUGGGGACGACGUCAAGUCAUCAUGGCCCUUACGAGUAGGGCUACACACGUGCUACAAUGGUCGGUACAAAGGGUUGCCAACUCGCGAGAGUGAGCCAAUCCCGAAAAGCCGAUCUCAGUCCGGAUCGGAGUCUGCAACUCGACUCCGUGAAGUCGGAAUCGCUAGUAAUCGUAGAUCAGAAUGCUACGGUGAAUACGUUCCCGGGCCUUGUACACACCGCCCGUCACACCAUGGGAGUGGACUGCACCAGAAGUGGUUAGCCUAACGCAAGAGGGCG
RNAcentral lists this ribosomal RNA (746 nucleotides) under Vreelandella aquamarina. Its description in RNAcentral is "bacterial SSU rRNA". It matches the Rfam family "Bacterial small subunit ribosomal RNA", at positions 705 to 1452 of the family's 1533-position model. Lineage: Bacteria; Pseudomonadati; Pseudomonadota; Gammaproteobacteria; Oceanospirillales; Halomonadaceae. The record is from RNAcentral.